AUUUGCAUAUCCAUUAUAUGGGUCUGCAUCAUACAUGUGCAGAUAAAUAAUUAUCAGCCUGGUAGAGGAGAGGAAUUAUAUCUUGAAUUCAUUGAUGCCACAUCAUUUUGGUCCGUACUUUGUACAACUUGACUGUACAAUCAUGAUGCUUUGUUCACAACCUAUAUAAAAUAUUGUAUUAGUAACUUCAAAAUUAAUUUUGCAUAGCUUUUUGCUUAUGCCAAGAAAAUCGACAGAAUAUUUAUAGCACUCUGGGGGCAAAAUGUUAAGUUUCUAGGCAUGAUUUUUAUAUGCUAGAAUAUGUCUUUGACCUAUGGAAAAAAAGGGGUUCAUUAUUUGUUUUCAAGAGCUUAGGUGCAAGUAAGCAGCCCUACAUUCAACCAUAUUUCUUACUCUUCUAUCCAUGAAGUGUUUUCAAAUACUGUCUUUUUCUCUUGACAGAUGCCAUCCGAGGAAAAAACUCUUGACACGGCAUUGUGAAUAUUACUGGUUUUGCUACCACAACAUGCAAAAUAUGGUGUGGGUGAGAGGCCAAGAUCCGUGGAAUUAGAGGAUUUGCGGAGCACCUACUUUCAGCCUACAACUCCGCCGGCUCCGCGAGCCGAGUCUGGGAGCGGAGGGACACCGAACACUCCCAUAUUACCG
Long non-coding RNA from Triticum aestivum (bread wheat), 645 nucleotides. RefSeq lists it as uncharacterized. The record is from RefSeq and is a predicted model, not a curated record. The transcript is spliced from 3 exons. NCBI's taxonomy places the organism in Eukaryota, Viridiplantae, Streptophyta, Magnoliopsida, Poales, Poaceae.